Molecule: transfer RNA, 76 nt
Filed under: Lysobacter sp.
Lineage: Bacteria; Pseudomonadati; Pseudomonadota; Gammaproteobacteria; Lysobacterales; Lysobacteraceae
Also listed under: 1 other name
Description: tRNA-Gln
Rfam family: tRNA
About the family: Transfer RNA (tRNA) molecules are approximately 80 nucleotides in length. Their secondary structure includes four short double-helical elements and three loops (D, anti-codon, and T loops).
Source: RNAcentral
AGGGGCGUCGCCAAGCGGUUAAGGCACCAGGUUUUGAUCCUGGCAUGCGAAGGUUCGAAUCCUUCCGCCCCUGCCA